AGAGUUUGAUCAUGGCUCAGAUUGAACGCUGGCGGAAUGCUUUACACAUGCAAGUCGAACGGCAGCACGGGAGCUUGCUCCUGGUGGCGAGUGGCGAACGGGUGAGUAAUAUAUCGGAACGUAUCCAAUAAUGGGGGAUAACUAGUCGAAAGACUUGCUAAUACCGCAUACGCCCUACGGGGGAAAGCAGGGGAUCGUAAGACCUUGCGUUAAUGGAGCGGCCGAUAUCUGAUUAGCUAGUUGGUGAGGUAAAGGCUCACCAAGGCUUUGAUCAGUAGCUGGUCUGAGAGGACGACCAGCCACACUGGAACUGAGACACGGUCCAGACUCCUACGGGAGGCAGCAGUGGGGAAUUUUGGACAAUGGGGGCAACCCUGAUCCAGCCAUUCCGCGUGAGUGAAGAAGGCCUUCGGGUUGUAAAGCUCUUUCGCAAGGAAAGAAAACUUACCCAUUAACACCGGAUGAGGCUGACGGUACCUUGAUAAGAAGCACCGGCUAACUACGUGCCAGCAGCCGCGGUAAUACGUAGGGUGCAAGCGUUAAUCGGAAUUACUGGGCGUAAAGCGUGCGCAGGCGGUCUUGAAAGUCAGAUGUGAAAGCCCCGGGCUCAACCUGGGAACUGCGUUUGAAACUCCAAGACUAGAGUAUGGCAGAGGGGGGUAGAAUUCCACGUGUAGCAGUGAAAUGCGUAGAGAUGUGGAGAAAUACCAAUGGCGAAGGCAGCCCC
Molecule: ribosomal RNA, 727 nt
Filed under: uncultured bacterium
Lineage: Bacteria
Description: bacterial SSU rRNA
Rfam family: Bacterial small subunit ribosomal RNA
Source: RNAcentral